UAGCUCAGUCAGCUGAGCAUAGCGCUAACAAUGCUAAGGUUGCGGGUUCGAUUCCCGU
This 58-nucleotide transfer RNA is filed under the name Apaloderma vittatum (bar-tailed trogon). It matches the Rfam family "tRNA", at positions 8 to 63 of the family's 71-position model. Rfam says of the family: Transfer RNA (tRNA) molecules are approximately 80 nucleotides in length. Their secondary structure includes four short double-helical elements and three loops (D, anti-codon, and T loops). The record is from Rfam by way of RNAcentral. Lineage: Eukaryota; Metazoa; Chordata; Aves; Trogoniformes; Trogonidae.